CCUGAUGGAGGGGGAUAACUACUGGAAACGGUAGCUAAUACCGCAUAACGUCGCAAGACCAAAGAGGGGGACCUUCGGGCCUCUUGCCAUCAGAUGUGCCCAGAUGGGAUUAGCUAGUAGGUGGGGUAAUGGCUCACCUAGGCGACGAUCCCUAGCUGGUCUGAGAGGAUGACCAGCCACACUGGAACUGAGACACGGUCCAGACUCCUACGGGAGGCAGCAGUGGGGAAUAUUGCACAAUGGGCGCAAGCCUGAUGCAGCCAUGCCGCGUGUAUGAAGAAGGCCUUCGGGUUGUAAAGUACUUUCAGCGAGGAGGAAGGCAUUAAGGUUAAUAACCUUGGUGAUUGACGUUACUCCCANAAAAAGCACCGGCUAACUCCGUGCCAGCAGCCGCGGUAAU
This 400-nucleotide ribosomal RNA is filed under the name uncultured bacterium. RNAcentral describes it as "bacterial SSU rRNA". It matches the Rfam family "Bacterial small subunit ribosomal RNA", at positions 129 to 524 of the family's 1533-position model. The record is from RNAcentral.